GGCGGGAUAGCUCAGCUGGUUAGAGCGAUGGAUUCAUAACCCAUAGGUCAGGGGUUCAAGUCCCCUUCCCGCUA
RNAcentral lists this transfer RNA (74 nucleotides) under Armatimonas rosea. It matches the Rfam family "tRNA". Rfam says of the family: Transfer RNA (tRNA) molecules are approximately 80 nucleotides in length. Lineage: Bacteria; Bacillati; Armatimonadota; Armatimonadia; Armatimonadales; Armatimonadaceae. The record is from Rfam by way of RNAcentral.